GACGAACGCUGGCGGCGUGCUUAACACAUGCAAGUCGAGCGGUAAGGCCCUUUCGGGGGUACACGAGCGGCGAACGGGUGAGUAACACGUGGGUGACCUGCCCUUAGCUCUGGGAUAAGCCUGGGAAACUGGGUCUAAUACCGGAUAUGACUCCAUGACGCAUGUUGUGGGGUGGAAAGCCUUGUGCGGCUAGGGAUGGGCCCGCGGCCUAUCAGCUUGUUGGUGGGGUGAUGGCCUACCAAGGCGACGACGGGUAGCCGGCCUGAGAGGGGCGACCGGCCGACACUGGGACUGAGACACGGCCCAGACUCCUACGGGAGGCAGCAGUAAGGAAUAUUGCGCAAUGGGCGAAAGCCUGACGCAGCGACGCCGCGUGGGGAUGAAGGUCUUCGGAUUGUAAACCCC
This 405-nucleotide ribosomal RNA is filed under the name uncultured bacterium. Its description in RNAcentral is "bacterial SSU rRNA". It matches the Rfam family "Bacterial small subunit ribosomal RNA", at positions 28 to 433 of the family's 1533-position model. The record is from RNAcentral.